This is a long non-coding RNA of Astatotilapia calliptera (eastern happy), 1044 nucleotides long. NCBI's taxonomy places the organism in Eukaryota, Metazoa, Chordata, Actinopteri, Cichliformes, Cichlidae. The record is from Ensembl.
CGUCUCUCUGGUUUGUUUUUGGCCCACUUUGCACCAGAAAGAGGAAACCAGCGGCUGAACAACAGCAGCGCUUGAUAAGCUGUUGUUAGAAUGUAUUUAUUAUUACUUUCUACUCGAGGAUCUUUUGUAGCUGACGGCUGGUAACUGUGCAGGGGCGGAUCUAGCAAAGUUUAGCCAGGGGGGCCGAUAGGGCAUUAACAGGGAAAAGAGGGCACAAAGACAUACUUUUCUUUCUUAUUCUCAUUUAAAAUGUCUAGCUUUUAUACUUUUUCCUUUGGGAAGGUACCAUCUGUGCAGUCUGCAAUUUUGUUGAAGAAAGAUGUUGAAUCUAUUUAAUAUUUCUUGAAAAAUAAUUGAUUUCUGUGCAUUUUUUUUCACACUGCAUCAAAUUAAGGUUGAUUACGUCGAUUAAGCAUCAUGAGGUGGAGCGUGAGGGGUGGUUCCCUAUUUUUUAUUUAUUUAUUUUUGUUGUUCCUGGGAGUUGGAACCCUAUUAGUUAGGUUGCUUAAUAUUUACGCUAAGUACUCUUUAAAAUACCAGAAUAGGGAGGAUGGUGUAGGUUUAAGUUUAUUAGAUUGAUCAGUAUUGCUGAACUAUGAAAUUUUUUUUUUUUGCAUACAGGUAUAACAGAAUAGCUUUAGUGUAGUUGUUGUUUUAAACUUGAGUAUGAACUUAUACAAAAUGCAGCAAGAUAUUUAAAAAAAAAAACAGUUUUGUUGAUUAAAAAACACUAUAUCGGAUUCAUAUCGGUAUCGGCAGAUAUCCAAAUUUAUGAUAUCGGAAUCGGUAUCGGACAUAAAAAAGUGGUAUCGUGCCAUCUCUAGAUGUGAGAAUAAAUUCUCAGAAUGUUCUCCUGUAAUAAUCAGAUUUUCACAAAAACUAUUACAAAACAACUUUUUUUCAGGGACCAUGCAUUGAAAAAGUCACCAACUGAGGUCCAACAUUUUAUUACUUUACCAUUAGUUUAUUUAUAUUCAGAUUUUUAUUACAUUUUCUUUUAAGUUUGGUUAGUGUGUCUUAGUGACAGGAAUUAAGAGAGGCCAC